RNAcentral lists this long non-coding RNA (452 nucleotides) under Mytilus galloprovincialis (Mediterranean mussel). The record is from RNAcentral. Lineage: Eukaryota; Metazoa; Mollusca; Bivalvia; Mytilida; Mytilidae.
AACCUACCUAAUCCUGGAAUGAUAAUAUUAAAGAUCAAACACAUAAUAGCUACUGGCUUCAUCAUGGCUGGGAUAGAAUCUCUCAGACUAGAUUCCGUAUCCUCCUUCUCCCGUUCCUUUGAUUGAGAUCUUGGUGUACUUGUAUGGUGUACGGUUGGAGGAAAAUAUCCUGGUAAGACAGGUCUCCCGUAACCUUUAAUCUGUUUCCUUUGAAGGCGAGGUGACGGUGUCGGGGUAGAACCACCACUAUACACAACCUGCAUAUUCCUUUGGAAAAUAUAUGUCACUACAGAGUUUAAUGAAUGAACUUUUAUCUAAUAGUCUACACCAUUCCUUCAAACACAUAGAUCAAUCAUCACAGUAUGUUUUGAAAUCACAUGUACACUAUAAAGAAGAAAAUCACAAAGUUUAAAGAGAUAUCGUUUAAAAACUUUUUGAUUAGGAGGAACGCA